Molecule: ribosomal RNA, 385 nt
Filed under: uncultured bacterium
Lineage: Bacteria
Description: bacterial SSU rRNA
Rfam family: Bacterial small subunit ribosomal RNA
Source: RNAcentral
AUUGAACGCUGGCGGAAUGCUUUACACAUGCAAGUCGAACGGUAGAGGGGGCAACCCCUUGAGAGUGGCGAACGGGUGAGUAAUAUAUCGGAACGUGCCCAGUCGUGGGGAUAACGUAGCGAAAGUUACGCUAAUACCGCAUACGAUCUAAGGAUGAAAGCGGGGGAUCGCAAGACCUCGCGCGAUUGGAGCGGCCGAUAUCAGAUUAGGUAGUUGGUGGGGUAAAGGCUCACCAAGCCAACGAUCUGUAGCUGGUCUGAGAGGACGACCAGCCACACUGGAACUGAGACACGGUCCAGACUCCUACGGGAGGCAGCAGUGAGGAAUUUUUGGACAAUGGGCGCAAGCCUGAUCCAGCAAUGCCGCGUGCAGGAUGAAGGCCUUC